This 305-nucleotide ribosomal RNA is filed under the name uncultured bacterium. RNAcentral describes it as "bacterial SSU rRNA". It matches the Rfam family "Bacterial small subunit ribosomal RNA", at positions 333 to 655 of the family's 1533-position model. The record is from RNAcentral.
UCAUUCCUACGGGGGGCAGCAGUGGGGGAUAUUGCACAAUGGGGGAAACCCUGAUGCAGCGACGCCGCGUGGGUGAAGAAGCGCCUCGGCGCGUAAAGCCCUGUCGGCAGGGAAGAAAAUGACGGUACCUGAAGAAGAAGCCCCGGCUAACUACGUGCCAGCAGCCGCGGUAAUACGUAGGGGGCAAGCGUUAUCCGGAUUUACUGGGUGUAAAGGGGGCGCAGACGGCGAUGCAAGCCAGGAGUGAAAGCCCGGGGCCCAACCCCGGGACUGUCCUUGGAACUGCGCGGCUCGAGUGCAGGAGG